RNAcentral lists this non-coding RNA (148 nucleotides) under Pan troglodytes (chimpanzee). Lineage: Eukaryota; Metazoa; Chordata; Mammalia; Primates; Hominidae. The record is from Rfam by way of RNAcentral.
GCCGGGCAUGGUGGCGUGUGCCUGUUAUCACAGCUAUUCCAGGGGCUGAGGCAGGAGGAUCACUUGAGCCCAGGAGUUCAAGGCUGCAGUGAGCUAUGAUUGCACUGCUGCACUUUGGCCUGGGCAACAGAGUGAGACCUGGUCUCUA